This 500-nucleotide ribosomal RNA is filed under the name uncultured bacterium. Its description in RNAcentral is "partial 16S ribosomal RNA". It matches the Rfam family "Bacterial small subunit ribosomal RNA", at positions 30 to 523 of the family's 1533-position model. The record is from RNAcentral.
AUUGAACGCUGGCGGCAGGCCUAACACAUGCAAGUCGAGCGGAUGACGGGAGCUUGCUCCUUGAUUCAGCGGCGGACGGGUGAGUAAUGCCUAGGAAUCUGCCUGGUAGUGGGGGACAACGUUUCGAAAGGAACGCUAAUACCGCAUACGUUCUACGGGAGAAAGCAGGGGACCUUCGGGCCUUGCGCUAUCAGAUGAGCCUAGGUCGGAUUAGCUAGUUGGUGGGGUAAUGGCUCACCAAGGCGACGAUCCGUAACUGGUCUGAGAGGAUGAUCAGUCACACUGGAACUGAGACACGGUCCAGACUCCUACGGGAGGCAGCAGUGGGGAAUAUCGGACAAUGGGCGAAAGCCUGAUCCAGCCAUGCCGCGUGUGUGAAGAAGGUCUUCGGAUUGUAAAGCACUUUAAGUUGGGAGGAAGGGCAGUAAGUUAAUACCUUGCUGUUUUGACGUUACCGACAGAAUAAGCACCGGCUAACUCUGUGCCAGCAGCCGCUGUAA